UGCCAUCGAAGCUCAUCUAUUGUUGAUGGGCUGAUGGUUGGCAAUUUUGCCGCAGUGGUUCGUGUGGGAUUUUGUUUCUGCAGGCUCCUGGGGUUGUAUAUGCGCUGCUGUAAGCCAAUGAAUGAAUUGUGAGCUAUUCCAACAUUCUUAGAGUCAAUUCAUCUCAGGUUUGAUCAAAUUUAUAUAAUAAAACACUAAUAUUUAUGAUACCAACUAUGUCAUUAGAUUCUUUAUUUAACUACAUUUUAUAGUAUAUCUAUUUGAUGUUAUCGAUCUUUGUAAUUUCCUCUACAAGUUUGGUCUAAAUUGAGAUGUUUUGGCUCACUAGUAAAGUUGUAAUCACUUGCAAUUUCAAAUGAGGGGAGUAUCUUGCAUUAGUGCACUGGUUCGGUAGAAAACUAGAUAGCCAUAUCUGUUUUUAUUCAUUUAUAUUUAUAUAUAACUAUAAGAAUAGAUAGGAAUAUACAUUGUGAGACCUGUUAUCGAAGUGAGCAUUGUCUUUCCGGGCCACACUUUGUAGUGGCUAGCUACGUCUGUUCUUGUAGCAUCUUAAAUGUUACUUAACACAAUUGCUAAUGGCCAGGGUCUGUUCCUUAUUUCUAAUUCGCUGUAAUAGUUACCGGUUUUAGAUUCCAGCGUAUGCAUAUGGAUGCAUUUGACAUUCGAUACCCACGUCUCCCGCUGCUAGCGGUGGUAAUAGAUCAUAAUCUAAAUAUAAUCUAAAUAUUUCCUUACAAAUUGCUAGGGCUUUAAAUUAUUUUUAGUUCAAACAUGAAUAUAAAUAGGACAUGAUGCAACUUGAUCUGAUCCUUAUAUUUUAUAGUGUAAAAUUUAGAGUCCAUUGUCACCUCUAGCUGUGCCCCAAAUGUACUCGCAUUGACUAACUCCAUCAAACUCUCUGUCAUUCCAAUUUAACAGUAUCGUGUAUCCGUCUGCAUUUUGGCACGCAUCCACUUCUGCAUUUUGCAUGGAUAAGCAUUUUGCAUGGAUACGGAGUGGGAUGACGAGUCCGCAUCCACUUCUGCAUUUUGCAUGGAUAAGCAUUUUGCAUGGAUACGGAGUGGAUGACGAGUCCACUCCGCCUGAUCUCUAGUCAUAUUUCAAGUUUUUAUUAAAAAAUGUCUUAAUUCAAGUUAUAAAAUUCACUUUAAAUUAUAAGAUGUUUUGUCUUUUUAGAUAUAUAUAUCUUUUACUAUAUAUCUAAACAUAUAUUUGCCUCCUGAAAAAUUUAAAAGGCCAAAGUAUCUUAUUAUCUGGAACAAAGAGAGUACAUACUACAAUCAGACAACGAAAUCUCGCAGAUCCUAUAUUUUGUUCUCAAACGAAAUCUCGCAGAUCCUAUAUUUUGUUCUCAUGCAAAUCAUAAUUAUGGCUUUCUCCUCAAUUUGGUUUUAAAUUAACAAAAUCUCCAAAAAAACACAUGAAUAUUUAUGUUAACAUUUUGAUCGGAAUAUUAUUGUGUGGAAACAUUUUUUUAUCGAGAUACUAUCGAAUUCAUCGUGUAUAUUCAAACAAGCUGGGAUAGGACUCGUUUGGUUGUUUCCCCAGGCAGGAGAAAUGACGCCGAAUCGCCACCACCAUCCGCCUAGAACAAUCCAGGUAGAGUUUCCUCCGAAGACUCAGCAGAGCAACGAUGAUCGCCAAUGCCACCCCGCCAAGCUGCCACGCGUUGCCACCUUCUACCGACCACCGACACAACAACCCAAUAAGCCCCAAUCACUAGAGCUCCUACACCAGCUAACCAACUAGUGUGAAACCCCAAGAUGGCCGAGGCGAGGACGCCUACACGGAGGGCACGGGAUAUCCAUGUACGACACCCUCAAUAGGAUAGAAGUGGCGCUCUGUGGCGUCACCGGCGUCCGCCUCCAAGCGAGCAUGGAUUUCGCCGGAGGACCCACCACCAAUCAUCCCGACGCUCGGAUCCAAUCGGCCAGGGGCAACGCCGACAUCGUUUGAGCAUCCAACGUCGGGACCCACAAGGCCAAAGUCACAGCCAACAAGGCAAAACCAGCGGCAUGAGGCCAAGGGGCACGAAAGGCCUUGCUAUCACCCAUCGGUCGAACGGGAGGUCGAGAGAUGGAACUAACGAGGGAGGCUCAAGAUCCGGUCUCUAGCUGACCGGGGAGCACCAACGGAAGCCACAACGUCGGGAACUACCGAGGCCACUGUCCUCGGGAGGCUCGUCCUUCACUUCUGAGGAAACCCCCACCCUUCCAUCUCUAGAUCCAAUUUCCCUAACCCGUCGCUGGCAGCAGUAGAGCUGCCGUUGGCCAUGGCCCUCGCCUCCCCGCCCCUGCCGCCGCGCCACGAGCAUGCUGCGAGCCAGCCUCUCGAGUAGCCCAUGUGUGAACGAUGUAGGGGCCGAUCGAAUCGCCCCAACAUCGCCUUCACCGUGAGCCGCACGAGCACCCGUCGUCUAGUUCCAGUGGCAGCGAAGCAGAGAGGGGAGGGACAUGAGGUGACGACAGCUAGGGUUGGCGCCGUCCGAGUCACUCGAGCGGUGGCGACCGACUAUGCAGUGUUCUAAAAGCUUUAGUGCCACCUCCCCGGUGCACACCAAAAUACACGUGUGCAUUGUUUAUAACCGUGUAAUACCCACUUUGUAAGAAAAAAUUAAAAAGAGAAAUUAUAUUUCUUUAUAUAUAUGUGUGUUAUCUCUAUUUAUUAUUUCAUGUGGACACCUCACUUACACAAAUAAAUAAUUAACAAAAGACACUCAAAUAAAUCAUGCAUCAUGCUGAGGUUUCCAUUUUUGUGUGCAUCUUGGGACAAUAUCUAUACUACUCUAUUAAGACAAUAGCGUCAGCGUCCACAACCUGUGCCCCCGCCUGCCCCUGCCUCGCGUUUCCCUCUCCCCGCAGCCACUCCCCUCUCCCCGCAUCGACAGGUACUUGGCGCGCAGGAACUUGCCGAGCCCGCCCCACCGCGGGCUCCUCGCGUCCAGGAACGAGCUCGCCGGCUCCGCCUUCAGAUCCGUGAAGUUGAAGUCGCGGCGGUGGAGAGGUGAAGCUCGUCCAGGAAGCUGAAGUUGAAGUCGCGCCGGUGGAGAGGCGGAGCUCGUCGGGUUCAGGCCGGAGAGGUGGAGCUCGUCGAGCGACGCCAGGGUCCACCCCGGGUGGAGCCGCGCCUCCAGAGCACGCUCGACGGUCAGGGAGCUCCUGGCGCGCUCGGCCUCGACGUCCCUAGCCCGGAGGUCCGCCGCGACCUCCAGCGUCACCUCCCCCGCACCCGCAGGCUGCCGGACCGCUCCCCCUCCCGCCGCUCGCGUUCUCCAGCCAGACGUACAACGAGGCGGCGACGCUGCUCGCGUCCAUGUACCCCUCCGUCUUCCCCGUCGCCAGGGGCGGCGCCGCGCCGCGUCGCCUCCUCGGCCUCGCCUCCGCGCUCGCCGACAACUCGUCCUGCUCCGACCUCCUCCCGCCGACCUCCUCCUCACGUCGAUGGAGCGGACCGUGCGCGCGCUGGACCGCCAGAUCUCGCAGUUCGUGGCCAUGGACUGGCUGAUUUGGGCGGACUCCGCCGCCGCGGACGCGUUCCUGGAGGCGGUCGACGAUCUCAUUGGCACCGUGCAGGAGCUAGACGCUACGGGGACCAACCGCGCUCUACUCGACCGCGCCGACGAGCUGCUCAGCCGGUGCAUGGCGACAGCGUGUACGUGUUGCACCGGAAGAACCGCUGAGGCGGGGGAGGCGCCGGCGCCGGCGGGACCGCGCCCUCGCCGAGCAGCAGCGAGAGCGCGGCGGAGGGCAGCGUCGAGGUGCUGAGCAACGCGUCGCGGUUGGGCGAGCUGGAGACGAAGAAGGCGUCGUCUAGGGCCAGCGCGCCCGCGUGGAGCGAGCCUAGGGAGCCCGGCGCGGGCUGACCGCGCUCAGUGGCGGAGCACAACCCAAAAUCAAGGUAUGGCAGUGAACAAAACAUAUUGCACUAAAAGCUAAAAGAAAAGCUCAGUAAAAAAACACUAAGUACCUCAAUGCACUUUACCUCUAAUCCCUUGUUCCACUAAUCCUCACUUCCUCAAUGGUCAAUUACGUGCACUAUAUUGUGCUGUCUAUGCACAAGCUGAAACUGACAGCCUCACUGGUCACCAGCAGACCGGAAGGGGGCACACAGGGAGACACUGUGGCGGCAACUGACAAGGCACGAACAAGCUCCGGAGGCCGGCUGCAACGCACCGCCACGGACGAGCUCGGGGCAGACUGGGAACAGUGGAAGCUAGGAAGCCUGGGAACGACGGUAGGAGGUGGGAGCCUAGGAACAGUGGAAGCUAGGAACGGCGGCUAGCCGUAGAAGCCAAGAGAAGUCGGUGGGAAGCUAGGAACAGUGGAAGCUAGGAACGGCGGCUGUGAAAGCGUGCUGGCGAGUGGUAUGCGGGGUGGGUCCGCGGAUGGGCCUGGACGCUUGAAACUAGGGUUUACUGCUUCAGUGGGCUAGGCCGAGGUAUGGCGUAGGCCAUACUUCGCCAUAACGGACCCUCCGCUCCUGACCGCACUUGGCCAGUGCGCGCGCCGCGAGGCCCGCGGGCACGCGCAACAGGCCGAUCAGGAAGUCCACCGCGUCUUUGCGGGCCUCCGCGUACAGCACGCGCUGCGAACGCCUGUCCACCAGCAGCUUCAGCUGCGGGCCGCUAGCGGCCGGCGCCGGCUUCACGUCUGUAGCUGCCGUCAUGGACGCCAUUGCUGUGGCUGGUGCUGGCCUGGCCUGGUCUGCUUGAUGUUGAGAGUUGCAGAGCUUUCCUUGUACGUGGUCGGGGCAUGAAAUUAAUAAUGGUCAGAGCAAUGCCAAUGACAUUACCAAUAAAUCUAAAUUACCAGAUGUUUUCCUUAACUACGGUCUACAGUCCCUAUUUGUAGGUCUAUUCAUUUUUUUUCUUAUUUUGUUUUGCACGUUGUUUGAGUAGCAACAGGAUCGCAAGCUGUUUUUUUCAUACGUCAGGCUUUUGCUCGUGAUGAUGUUGAUGCUGAAUUUGAGAAAUCCAAAAUGGAUGUUUUAAGUGUGAAGAACCCUGAAUCUGAAAAGUUUGCUUUUGUUCGUUGCUGGGUCCAGUGGACAAACAUCCAACAGAAAAAAGGACUUCCCUCAUGGAUGGUAAAAGACCAUGAAGUUGCUAAAAGAAAUAGAGAGGAAGCCUUGAAGAGGAAGGACUCAAAGCUUAAGCACGUCAUCAUUUCUAAACAUGUAGAUAAGAAGUUAAAGUUGUAUUUGAUUCGUUACAUGCACAUGCUUUAUGUUUCUGUUAUUUAUGUAAAGUGCUAAUAAAAAUAUAUAAAUAACAAUUAGUGUUUUUAUAUCAAUAUAUUUUAUCAUAGUGCUUCUGCAUCUCAGUGUGCCUUAUCAUUAUAUGUUGACUCCGUAGCAACGCACGGGCAUACACCUAGUAAAAA
This 5381-nucleotide long non-coding RNA is filed under the name Zea mays. RNAcentral's name for it is "long non-coding RNA (ZMAY_LNC000886)". Lineage: Eukaryota; Viridiplantae; Streptophyta; Magnoliopsida; Poales; Poaceae. The record is from RNAcentral.